GAAAUAAUUGGGCCCAAAGGCGCGCCAGCGCGGAGAGCGCACGAGAGCCAAAAUACUUCGCUCCAGAGACUUAGCGGCCGCCCCAGAUCUAGCCCAAAUCACCAUCUGCUCCAACCCUAGCCGCCGCCAACACGAGACGACGCCGAGCACCCACCACUGCCCGACCCCAGCCGCCCCUGACCACCCAUCGCAGCAGCUGUCCUCUCGGACCACCGCCGCCGCCGAGCACCCUCCUCCGUCGCCGUCAAGUACCCUCCUACACAGAUCUCGUCCGCGCUCCACCCAUCCCCAGCGCCGCCCAUCCCCAGCGCCGCCCAGAUGUCGCCUCUCCUUCCAUGCUUUCUCCCCGGGCAGCACUGUCUCUCCUAGGGUUUGCGCCACCGACCAUCCUAGUCGCCCCCCUCCCGUGCGUGCUCACCUCGACGUCAUGCUCUCCAGCCUAUCGUCCUUCGUCCGUGCUCCUCCGACCUCCCCCUUUUGUACUUCGAGCGUGAGGUAUGGUCCUGGUGCUUCCCGUUCUCUUGUAUUCUUUACUGUUCUUUCAAUUUUUCCAAUGAUUUGUAACACACAUGAGCACAUCUGCCAAAUCUUCUUCCUCUGCUUUGAGGAAAAUAGCAGAGCACUCUGAUGGAAGAACGUAUCUGGGACAGUCAGCCUCAGCCAGUGAAGACUAUAGCUCUAGGAAUAGUUGCCGCAUUGUUUUACUGGUAAAUACUUGUGACAAAGUGCUAUUUUCAGCUGUAAACAUUCAGCCUACACUAUGUACUGCAUGUUUUACUAAUAAUUGCUGCCUGGUAUCUUGUCUGACCUGAAACAUAUGGUCACUUUAGUAAUAGCAACAUCAAAGUAGAAAUUGGGUUGGGCAAGGAAUUCAUGAUUCUGGCCCAACUUUUGUUAGAUGUGUAAAUUGAAAAAUGUUUGUCAACUAUGAUUAUUUUGUUUCAAAUAAUAACACGUAAAAACCUUGUUUUGUUUGCAUGUUAUGGUUUAGGAGGUUGAACAGAAUAUUAAGACGCAUAAUAAGUACCUGUCUUAUUUGCUCAUGAAAAUGUUUGAUCUUAACAUAGGAGCAUGAUCUGACCCCAUGCGUAUGUUAGCAGUCUGGUUUUCAUGCCUUUUGUGAAUGCAAAGUGGCACUUGAUGCAUAGCUAGUGUCAAAAGACCUUCAUAAUUUGGACUGCUAAUUCUCGUGGAUUAUCUAUCUGUUUGUUUGAAACUGCUGUGCAUUGCCAACAUAUUUCUUCCAGCAAUUUUGCAGUUGGAUUCCUUUCUUUCCAAGUUUAAUUGUGUCAUUCUUGUAAUUUCUUUACCGUGCUAUGCAAAAUGAACCAUCUUUUGGUGGUGCUUGAGUCAUGGGCAUAGAUGCAUCUAACCAAAUAAUGCUUGCUUCUGGGAAGGCACCUAGUGUAGGUGGAGAACAUGUUCUAAGAAAGGUAUAGUACAUUUAAAUCUCGUUCUUUGCCAAAUCUUCUGAUACUGAAGUUGUCAAGGAUAUAUGCAUCUGGUCCAUACAUAACACUGUCACUGAUAACAGCGGCUCCAAAAAGAUUUUUCCGCUUCUACUAUGGGACCUUGCAUGUGGGAUGAUGAGGGCAAUCAAAGCAGGUUUUCAAAGACACACAAGUUGAUGGAGGUUUGCAAGAUCUACAUACAAGCGGUUGACGGUUUGGAAGUUCUACAGCGGCUGAAGGUUUGGAGGACAUACAAUUAAGUUGGUGUAGUGAUAAUGUAGUGCACCUAGUUUGUUGAACCUGGAGACAUUGGCAAGUUCUGCUUAUUUUGGUGGUUGUUUUGGUACACAAGCCAUUGGAUGCUCAUUUUGGUUGUGUGGCACAUCUAGAAACAUACGUACUUUUUUGUGCCAGCACAAGUCCUUAUGUAUGGUUGUUUCCUAUAUGUAUGUAUCCAGAAACAUAUGUAUCUGGCAUGUUAUGUUUAUAUUGAAGGAAGUUUAAGGUUUUUAAUGAG
This 1968-nucleotide ribosomal RNA is filed under the name Triticum aestivum (bread wheat). RNAcentral's name for it is "partial small subunit ribosomal RNA". The record is from RNAcentral. Lineage: Eukaryota; Viridiplantae; Streptophyta; Magnoliopsida; Poales; Poaceae.